GAUGAACGCUGGCGGCGUGCCUAAUACAUGCAAGUCGAGCGAACGGACGAGAAGCUUGCUUCUCUGAUGUUAGCGGCGGACGGGUGAGUAACACGUGGAUAACCUACCUAUAAGACUGGGAUAACUUCGGGAAACCGGAGCUAAUACCGGAUAAUAUUUUGAACCUCAUGGUUCAAAAGUGAAAGACGGUCUUGCUGUCACUUAUAGAUUGAUCCGCGCUGCAUUAGCUAGUUGGUAAGGUAACGGCUUACCAAGGCAACGAUGCAUAGCCGACCUGAGAGGGUGAUCGGACACACUGGAACUGAGAAACGGUACAGACACCUACGGGAGGCAGCAGUAGGGAAUCUUACGCAAUGGGCGAAAGGCUGACGGAGCAAAGCCGCGUGAGUGAUGAAGGUCUUCGGAUCGUAAAACUCUGUUAUUAGGGAAGAACAUAUGUGUAAGUAACUGUGAACAUCUUGACGGUACCUAAUCAGAAAGCCACGGCUAACUACGUG
Molecule: ribosomal RNA, 497 nt
Filed under: uncultured bacterium
Lineage: Bacteria
Description: partial 16S ribosomal RNA
Rfam family: Bacterial small subunit ribosomal RNA
Source: RNAcentral